GAGCGAGAGAGAGAGAGAGAGUGAGUGUUGACAAUGGCCGUUCGUGACUGGCAGUGUUUACAGUUACAUUUUCCUUAAUUAUUCCUCGCCCACACCUGCCCGCGAUAUCUGCCACACCUGCACACGUCGAGCAACCCUCCGCGCACACGCACACGCACGCAAACCCCAGGAAAUAAGGCGGAGAGCGAGGAAAAGUGGAGAAAUGUGCCCGUUUAGCGUCUCCAGUGAAGGAAAACACUAAGAAAAUAUUUCUUUAACCACCACCACCGCCACCAUGGACCUUCUGGAUGGGGAGACAGUGUACAACUCCCAUGACGAGUCCCAUGUCGUCAUGUCGGAGAAGGUUCAGUCCCUCGCCGGCAGCAUUUAUCAAGAAUUCGAGCGGAUGAUUGGCCGGUACGAUGAGGAUGUCGUUAAGGACCUCAUGCCGUUGGUAGUCAACAUCCUGGAGUGUCUGGAUCUUGCCUACACCGAGAACCAGGAGCAUGAGGUGGAGGUGGAGCUGCUGCGAGAGGAUAACGAACAGCUGGUGACACAGUACGAGCGCGAGAAACAGCUGCGUAAGGCCUCCGAGCAGAAACUGCUGGAACUUGAGGAUGGCAUGGAGGAAGAGAAGAAAAAGUGCCAGUCAAGGGUAGAGACGCUGGAAUCUAUAGUGAGGAUGCUGGAACUCAAGAAUCGGAACGCGUCAGACCACGCCAGUAGAAUGGAGGACAAGUCGGAGGAGAUCAAGAAGGAGUAUGCCAAACUACAUGAUCGUUACACAGAGCUGUUUAAGACUCACAUGGAUUACAUGGAAAGGACAAAGAUUCUAAUGGGAACAGACAGACUGGACCAGCUCGGCACAGCGCGCGGAAGGAUACCUGGGUUCAGCCUGGGCAAUCUUAACAGGUCAUCAGGGCCCGUGUCGUUUGGGUUCAGUUCAUUUGAGGCCAACAAGUCAAUGACCUCACCUGUGGACAUGACCGGGUCGGCUAAUGGGUCGUUACAGGUCACAUCAAUUAAGAAUGAGCUUCAGGAGGCGCAGGUCGGGCCAGACACUCCAGUGGUUCAUUCAGACAAAGGUCAGCUAACAGAUGCAAUUGAGCAAGCAGAUCGCGAGACAGCCACAAAAGGUGGAUGGGUGGACGGCUUCAGCCCAGAGAGUGAGGCGAUGGUCUCUUCCCCUGAGAUGGAGGACCUGGAGGACAUAUCUCUGGACACAAGCAUAGGACCGCACCACCAGCCCCCCGGGAGGAUGGCCAGACCCACCACCACGCAGCACAAGGAGGAACGUACAGGCAACACACUGUACCAAGAGAUCCAUUUCCAAGAACCAGACGCCCUUGCAGAGAUGGAUGAAGGCGCCGACAUCACAGGUGGCUGGGUUCACCCUGGGGAAUACGCAUCUUCUGUUACAGAUAAUUUCUUUGGGAUGGGGAAGGAAGUGGAAAACCUUAUACUGGAGAAUAAUGAACUGCUGGCAACCAAGAACGCUCUUAAUAUCGUAAAGGAUGACCUCAUUGCAAAAGUAGAUGAAUUGACAAGCGAACAAGAGAUUCUGCGGGAGGAGAUCAAGUCGCUGAAUGCCGUGAAGUCUCGCCUCCGUCUCCGCAUCACAGAGCUUGAGGACGAGGUGAAGAAGGUGAAGGAGGAGGCGGAGAAGAUCGCAAAGGCUGGGAAGUCUGAUGAUGAGGAGGAAGUCCCAAUGGCCCAGAGGAAGCGGUUCACCAGGGUGGAGAUGGCGCGGGUGUUGAUGGAGAGGAACCAAUACAAGGAGAGGUUCAUGGAGCUGCAGGAGGCGGUUCGUUGGACUGAAAUGAUCAGGGCAACCCGCACUGACCCGGCCACUGACAAGAAGAACAAACAGACCAUUUGGAAGUUCUUCAGCAACCUCUUCAGCACCUCCGAGAAGCCGCAGAGGAAGCCCCUGCCGUAUGGGAACGUGAGAUACAGCGCCCCCUCCAACCAGGUGACCCCCGCCCUUGACACAAUGAGGAGGAAGAACCUUGCUGAUCACCGGCGAAAGGGGCUGGAAAUAUUUGAUGCUGGAUUCUCCUCCGAGAAACUGCAACAGAGGCGGGCAACCGAGAGACGCGAACAGUACCGUCAAGUCAGGGCCCACGUCAAGAAGGACGACGGAAGAUUGCAGGCUUACGGGUGGAGUCUACCGGCUAAGACUGGGCAGAGGGCUAUAGAGGGCCCCCCCGCAGCCGCCCCAUCAGCCGCUGCCGCUGCCGCAUCAGCCGUUCCGCCGCAGAGGGCCGGAACGUCAGCCUCGUCACAUAUCCCUGUUCCGGUUCCUGUCUACUGUCGGCCCCUGAUGGAGAAGGAGCCAGGGAUGAAGAUCUGGUGUGCGGCUGGAGUUAACCUGACAGGCGGACGAACCAAAGAUGGCGGUAGCAUUGUGGGAGCCAGUGUUUUCUAUUCAGGCGACACUGAAAUUACAACUGUGAAGCCCAGCGAUGAUGUGGAGAGUCUGGACCAGGAGUUGAAGGAGGGAGAAAGAGAGAGACGAGAGGGAGAAUUACUGGAACAAACGCUCUCUUCCCUCGUCUGGAUCUGCACCUCAACACACUCUAUCAGCAAGGUGACGGUCAUUGACGCAAACAACCCAGCUGACAUUCUGGAGUCAUUUCACGUGUGCUCCUCCCACCUCCUGUGCAUCGCCAGCGUGCCAGGAGCUAAAGAGAGUGACUAUAGUGUAGAUGAGGACAUGAAUAGAUUAGUGGAGGAGGUGGCAAACAAUAACACUGAGGACGCCACCACCACCACCACCGAUACCACCACCACCACCGCCGCUGCCAAGGAGGAGGGGGACAGUGCAAGUGGAGGAAAGGCAGAGGAAAAUCCUUCUAUGGGGACUCUAUCCUUUAUCAGCUGUGCCGCAGGAGGGAGUAAUAUUCUCACCCAGUCGCCGACCGCGCCCGAGACCCCUGAUAAGGAAAUUGAAGAAAUUAAGCCUGUUCUGCGCAAGGAAACCAUCCCAUGUACAGACCCAGAGCAGGACGCAGACCAUGCCAGCGUCGUGGGGGAGGAGGAGGGGUCAGUGCCACCCCGACGCCUCCUACGAGAGCCCCAGGGGGUGGUAAAAGAUGGCGUGGAAGAAGCACAACCCACUGACGACUCGGACAACGUGGUGACGGAGGAGGUGGAGAAGAUGUCGUCCGUGCUGUCUACGAUGUGGUUGGGCUCCCAGAGUGGAUCAAUUUAUGUCCACUCAGCCGUCAGACACUGGAAGAGAUGUCUCCACUCAAUUAAGCUGAGAGAUUCUGUGCUGUCCAUCGUGCACAUCAAGGGGCGGGUGUUGGCGGCCCUGGCUGACGGCACGGUUGCAAUCUUUCACCGCAGAGGAGACGGACAGUGGGACCUCAACAAUUAUCACCUUCUGGAUCUCGGUCGGCCGCACCACUCCAUCCGGUGCAUGCAGGCGGUGCACGGCCGAGUCUGGUGUGGCUACCGGAACAAGAUUCACGUCGUGGAUCCACGCCACAUGACUAUUGAGAAAUCAUUUGACGCCCACCCACGCAAGGAGUCACAGGUGCGGCAGAUGGCUUGGCUGGGUGACGGGGUGUGGGUGAGCAUUCGCCUGGACUCCACCCUCCGCCUGUACCACGCACACACCCACCAGCACCUUCAGGAUGUGGAUAUUGAGCCCUACGUGUCGAAAAUGCUGGGCACAGGCAAGCUUGGGUUCUCCUUCGUACGGAUAACAGCACUGCUCAUCUCCUCUCAUCGCCUUUGGAUAGGAACUGGCAAUGGGGUCAUCAUUUCUGUGCCCUUGUCUGAGAGCGCGAACCCCAGGCCAGGGCAGAGUGACAGCACCACUACCACCGCCGCCAGCACCACCAGCACCACCGCCGCCACCCCCACACCCCCCAGCAGCAGCAGCAGCAAGCCAGGAGGUGUGAUAAGGGUUUACACAGACAGCCGAGAUCAGGUGACGCCAGGGUCAUUUGCACCUUAUUGUUCUAUGGCUCAAGCACAGCUGUCUUUCCAUGGACACAGAGAUGCGGUGAAGUUCUUUGUGGCUGUCCCAGGCUUAGGUGGGUAUCACACCCUUACAGCUGCCCACACGGCCCUGGCCAUGCGCGCGGUGUCCGAGAAGGAAGCACAGGAGGAGGGGGACGCGCCAGCCGAGCAGCCAAGCCCUAAGAGCAUGCUGGUUAUAUCUGGAGGAGAAGGUUACAUUGACUUCAGAAUUGCGGAUGAACGAGAGGAGGACAGAGACACAGCCAGCCACCUCCUUAUUUGGCAUAUCCCCUCGGAAGAUAAUUUCACUCAUCUCAACUCCCUCCUCCCUCCCACCACCACCACCACCACCCCCGCCCCCUCCCCCCUCCCCCGCCCCCCGCCGCCGCCGCCCCCGCCACCUCCGUCCGGCCGCACGUAGCUCAGCGGAGGGGCCACGGGCGGAAGGUUCGGCCGGGAGGUCCCCCUCUCGCAGGAAGACUUUGCAAGGGGGAGGGAGAAGAGGAUCCCAGUAUCUCCGCAAGUUCCCCUGAGUCGCUGAGCCGAGGAGAUCGAUCCCAUCUUAUUGUCUGGUUCUGUGGCUAGAGGGGGUGUCUAAUCUCUCUCUCUCUCUCUCUCUCUCUCUC
This is an RNA transcript of Scylla paramamosain (green mud crab), 4577 nucleotides long. It is a transcript of the gene named C-Jun-amino-terminal kinase-interacting protein 4-like, with no coding region annotated. The record is from RefSeq and is a predicted model, not a curated record. The transcript is spliced from 30 exons. Lineage: Eukaryota; Metazoa; Arthropoda; Malacostraca; Decapoda; Portunidae.